Molecule: ribosomal RNA, 433 nt
Filed under: uncultured bacterium
Lineage: Bacteria
Description: partial 16S ribosomal RNA
Rfam family: Bacterial small subunit ribosomal RNA
Source: RNAcentral
AACGAACGCUGGCGGCAUGCCUAACACAUGCAAGUCGAACGAGACCUUCGGGUCUAGUGGCGCACGGGUGCGUAACGCGUGGGAACCUGCCCUUAGGUUCGGAAUAACUCCCCGAAAGGGGUCCUAAUACCGGAUAAUGUCUUCGGACCAAAGAUUUUUCGCCUUUGGAUGGGCCCGCGUUGGAUUAGCUAGUUGGUAGGGUACAAGCCUACCAAGGCGACGAUCCAUAGCUGGUCUGAGAGGAUGAUCAGCCACACUGGGACUGAGACACGGCCCAGACUCCUACGGGAGGCAGCAGUGGGGAAUAUUGGACAAUGGGCGAAAGCCUGAUACAGCAAUGCCGCGGGAGUGAUGAAGGCCUUAGGGUUGUAAAGCUCUUUUACCCGGGAUGAUAAUGACGGUACCGGGUGAAUAAGCACCGGCUAACUCCGUG